RNAcentral lists this ribosomal RNA (401 nucleotides) under uncultured bacterium. RNAcentral's name for it is "bacterial SSU rRNA". It matches the Rfam family "Bacterial small subunit ribosomal RNA", at positions 356 to 774 of the family's 1533-position model. The record is from RNAcentral.
CGGGAAUUUUGGGCAAUGGGCGAAAGCCUGACCCAGCAACGCCGCGUGGGGGAUGAAGUAUUUCGGUAUGUAAACCUCGAAAGAAUGGGAAGAAUAAAUGACGGUACCAUUUAUAAGCUCCGGCUAACUACGUGCCAGCAGCAGCGGUAAUACGUAGGGAGCAAGCGUUGUUCGGAUUUACUGGGCGUAAAGGGCGCGUAGGCGGCGCGGUAAGUCACUUGUGAAAUCUCUGAGCUUAACUCAGAACGGCCAAGUGAUACUGCUGUGCUAGAGUGCGGAAGAGGCAACCGGAAUUCUUGGUGUAGCGGUGAAAUGCGUAGAUAUCAAGAGGAACACCUGAGGCGAAGGCGGGUUGCUGGGCCGACACUGACGCUGAUGCGCGAAAGCCAGGGGAGCAAACG